GACGAACGCUGGCGGCGUGCUUAACACAUGCAAGUCGAACGAUGAAGCUAGAGCUUGCUCUGGUGGAUUAGUGGCGAACGGGUGAGUAACACGUGAGUAACCUGCCCCGAACUCUGGGAUAACUGCUGGAAACGGUAGCUAAUACCGGAUAUGACCAAUGAAGGCAUCUUCUGUUGGUGGAAAGAAUUUCGGUUCGGGAUGGACUCGCGGCCUAUCAGCUUGUUGGUGAGGUAACGGCUCACCAAGGCGACGACGGGUAGCCGGCCUGAGAGGGUGAUCGGCCACACUGGGACUGAGACACGGCCCAGACUCCUACGGGAGGCAGCAGUGGGGAAUAUUGCACAAUGGGCGCAAGCCUGAUGCAGCAACGCCGCGUGAGGGACGACGGCCUUCGGGUUGUAAACCUCUUUUAGUAGGGAAGAAGCGAAAGUGACGGUAGGUGCAGAAGAAGGACCGGCCAACUACGUGCCAGCCGCCGCCGUAA
Molecule: ribosomal RNA, 484 nt
Filed under: uncultured bacterium
Lineage: Bacteria
Description: partial 16S ribosomal RNA
Rfam family: Bacterial small subunit ribosomal RNA
Source: RNAcentral